This 704-nucleotide long non-coding RNA is filed under the name Bos taurus (domestic cattle). RNAcentral describes it as "long non-coding RNA NONBTAT006609". The record is from RNAcentral. Lineage: Eukaryota; Metazoa; Chordata; Mammalia; Artiodactyla; Bovidae.
UUUUCAGGCAAUUUUAAAAUUAAAAUCUCAACACAGACACUAAAGAUAAUAUUCAGGCACAAGUGAAUGUGAGGAUCCCUCUCUUGAGAUUUCUUAACUUGACUUUGGAUUUUUUAGUGCUUCUUUAUAUAAUCUUUUCACCAGACUUUGAUUGAGCAGUAUCAUCUUGCAGCACCAGAAGGCUGAAAACGCAUCGUCUCAGUUACCAUUUUAAGUCACUCAGCAAGAACAACCAGAUAAAGGAAGCAACCACGGUCUUUAAAAAAAAAAAGAUCAUUACGAAGAAGAUAUAUUCAUUAAAAAAUCCCAAAUCGCUUUAAACUCUUUCUAGCUGGGAGUGAUGCAAAUCACUGGAAUGUAUAGUCCUGUGUCUCUUUUACAAAAAUCUCAUUUUCCAACUCUCUUCUCUCUCUAAUACAGCUCCCGACUUGAGUACAUAAUCCUCAUUCUGCCUUCACUGGUGGCCUUGGAUGUUACUGAAUAAACAAUACUGGAAACAAGAGAGAGAAAGAAGAAGGUCAAUCCCAGCGACCACCCAAACUGAAAAACAAAAUAACGCGUAGACAGUGCAACCAGUUCAGCUGAAGCCAGCAACGAGAACACAAAAAGGGUCUAGGUGGUGAGUUUCUUAAAUCAACAAAUACUAUCUGCCCACCAAUGAUUUGCUACCUGCCUCUCAUCAGAAAAAAAUGCCUUGAUCAAUG